GAUGAACGCUGGCGGCGUGCCUAAUACAUGCAAGUCGAGCGAACGGACGAGAAGCUUGCUUUUCUGAUGUUAGCGGCGGACGGGUGAGUAACACGUGGAUAACCUACCUAUAAGACUGGGAUAACUUCGGGAAACCGGAGCUAAUACCGGAUAAUAUUUUGAACCGCAUGGUUCAAAAGUGAAAGACGGUCUUGCUGUCACUUAUAGAUGGAUCCGCGCUGCAUUAGCUAGUUGGUAAGGUAACGGCUUACCAAGGCAACGAUGCAUAGCCGACCUGAGAGGGUGAUCGGCCACACUGGAACUGAGACACGGUCCAGACUCCUACGGGAGGCAGCAGUAGGGAAUCUUCCGCAAUGGGCGAAAGCCUGACGGAGCAACGCCGCGUGAGUGAUGAAGGUCUUCGGAUCGUAAAACUCUGUUAUUAGGGAAGAACAUAUGUGUAAGUAACUGUGCACAUCUUGACGGUACCUAAGAAGAAAGCCACGGCUAACUACGU
RNAcentral lists this ribosomal RNA (496 nucleotides) under uncultured bacterium. RNAcentral's name for it is "partial 16S ribosomal RNA". It matches the Rfam family "Bacterial small subunit ribosomal RNA", at positions 28 to 506 of the family's 1533-position model. The record is from RNAcentral.